Molecule: ribosomal RNA, 454 nt
Filed under: uncultured bacterium
Lineage: Bacteria
Description: bacterial SSU rRNA
Rfam family: Bacterial small subunit ribosomal RNA
Source: RNAcentral
AACGAACGCUGGCGGCAUGCCUAACACAUGCAAGUCGAGCGCGUGGCUUCGGCCACGAGCGGCGCACGGGUGAGUAACGCGUGGGAACCUGCCCCGGGGUGGGGGAUAACCGGUGGAAACGCCGGCUAAUACCGCAUACGGCCUUUGGGCGAAAGAUUUAUCGCCCUGGGAGGGGCCCGCGUCCGAUUAGCUAGUUGGUGGGGUAACGGCCUACCAAGGCGACGAUCGGUAGCUGGUCUGAGAGGAUGACCAGCCACACUGGGACUGAGACACGGCCCAGACUCCUACGGGAGGCAGCAGUGGGGAAUAUUGGACAAUGGGGGCAACCCUGAUCCAGCAAUGCCGCGUGAGUGAUGAAGGCCUUAGGGUUGUAAAGCUCUUUCGGCGGGGACGAUGAUGACGGUACCCGCAGAAGAAGCCCCGGCUAACUUCGUGCCAGCCGCCGCCGUAACAC